Ailuropoda melanoleuca (giant panda) is the source of this 525-nucleotide long non-coding RNA. RefSeq lists it as uncharacterized. NCBI's taxonomy places the organism in Eukaryota, Metazoa, Chordata, Mammalia, Carnivora, Ursidae. The transcript is spliced from 3 exons. The record is from RefSeq and is a predicted model, not a curated record.
CUGAAGAUGUUUUGGUUCUUUUCAUACCCCAUGGCCUGACUACGGGCAUCUUCAAAAUGACACCUUGACAUUUUUCUGGAACAUGGCAUUAAACACUUCCUCGUGUUUCCCAGCAAGGAUCGCAGCAUUUCCUGAACCAAUGGGGAAAGUUUGACAGAAAUUCCAUGAAACAGAGGAGCUCUCCCGAUGCCAAGGAUUUACGAUUACAGGUGGCCUCACGCAUCGAAUCAAGUGUGCCAUUACCCUCACUCCCAUGAACCUGUCUUUCAGCACGAUCCACGACAGCAAGAAGACAAAGGCUUUGUUACAACAGAACAGAGCAGAGACAUCCGUGGCUGUCAGCUUCCUUAAAGCCAGUAAAUACAGCAUUUUCAAGACAGAAAAAAAUGAAGAAAGCUUCCGUGGUGACCCCAAACUGGUAAAAUAAGUAAAUAAAAAAUCAAACUAUGGACUCUGAGAAACAAACUGAGGGCUUCAGAGGGGAGGGGGUGGGGGAAUGGGAUAGACUGGUGAUGGGUAGUAAGG